CAGUAGCCGCGGUAAUGCGUAGGUGGCAAGCGUUGUCCGGAGUUAUUGGGCGUAAAGGGCUCGCAGGCGGUUUCUUAAGUCUGAUGUGAAAGCCCCCGGCUCAACCGGGGAGGGUCAUUGGAAACUGGGAAACUUGAGUGCAGAAGAGGAGAGUGGAAUUCCACGUGUAGCGGUGAAAUGCGUAGAGACGUGGAGGAACACCAGUGGCGAAGGCGACUCUCUGGUCUGUAACUGACGCUGAGGAGCGAAAGCGUGGGGAGCGAACAGGAUUAGAUACCCCCGUAGUCCCUGUCUCUUAUAC
Molecule: ribosomal RNA, 301 nt
Filed under: uncultured bacterium
Lineage: Bacteria
Description: partial 16S ribosomal RNA
Rfam family: Bacterial small subunit ribosomal RNA
Source: RNAcentral